CAAUAGCGUAUAUUAACGUUGUUGCAGUUAAAAAGCUCGUAGUUGGAUUUCUGGAGGGAGCGUCGGCCCGUAUUUACGAGUGCGUGACGUCUCUGUCCAUCCUUGCGGGAAGGCACGGCAUUGAUUUGUUGUGUCGGAUCGCAUCAUUUACUGUGAAAAAAUUAGAGUGUUCAAAGCAGGCUUUCGCUUGAAUACAUUAGCAUGGAAUAAUAAGAUAGGACUUUGGUGCUAUUUUGUUGGUUGAGCCUAAGUAAUGAUUAAUAGGGAUAGUUGGGGGCACCUGUAUUGCGUUGUCAGAGGUGAAAUUCUUGGAUUUACGCAAGACAAACAGCUGCGAAAGCGUCUGCCAAGGAUGUUUUCAUUAA
Molecule: ribosomal RNA, 365 nt
Filed under: uncultured eukaryote
Lineage: Eukaryota
Description: partial 18S ribosomal RNA
Rfam family: Eukaryotic small subunit ribosomal RNA
Source: RNAcentral